UUGAACGCUGGCGGCAUGCCUUACACAUGCAAGUCGAACGGUAGAGGGGCAACCCUUGAGAGUGGCGAACGGGUGAGUAAUGCAUCGGAACGUGCCCAGUCGUGGGGGAUAACGCAGCGAAAGCUGUGCUAAUACCGCAUGUGAUCUGUGGAUGAAAGCAGGGGACCGCAAGGCCUUGUGCGAUUGGAGCGGCCGAUGUCAGAUUAGCUGGUUGGUAGGGUAAAAGCCUACCAAGGCGACGAUCUGUAGCUG
Molecule: ribosomal RNA, 252 nt
Filed under: uncultured bacterium
Lineage: Bacteria
Description: partial 16S ribosomal RNA
Rfam family: Bacterial small subunit ribosomal RNA
Source: RNAcentral